Molecule: long non-coding RNA, 296 nt
Filed under: Mytilus galloprovincialis (Mediterranean mussel)
Lineage: Eukaryota; Metazoa; Mollusca; Bivalvia; Mytilida; Mytilidae
Source: RNAcentral
CGUGGCUCGGUACUUAUAUAAUUUAUCGUCAUUGUGUUAUUGUGCUAUGGUAUUUUUUUGUAUUUUGUCUUUCGUUUACGCUAAUAUGCUUUGUCUAGUUGCCUUUUUGUUUUCUUUGUUUUCAUACAUUUGUUUGUUUGUUUUUAUAGUGAUUAAGAUUUUAAUACAAUGUUGACUGAUGUCCCCUUAUUUUUUUACAUUUUUACCUACAAUGUUUGUUUGUUUUAUUCAGUAAUUGUUGUCGAUUCAAUUGAAUUUCAUACGACUUUCAUAGAAGUAAAAAAUUUAGCUAACUA